Long non-coding RNA from Sipha flava (yellow sugarcane aphid), 728 nucleotides. RefSeq lists it as uncharacterized. The record is from RefSeq and is a predicted model, not a curated record. The transcript has 3 exons. Lineage: Eukaryota; Metazoa; Arthropoda; Insecta; Hemiptera; Aphididae.
UGAUAACUGGUUAUCAAACGUUUAGAAACAUAUCGACGAAUAUGAUCGGAAGCAUCAACUGAAUUUAAAGUGUAAUGAUCCUCUAAACCUGAUGGAUUCAUAGCGAUUUGAAGCAGUCGACAAUGUUUAUUGUGUUAUGUAGAUUAAUCAGUCGAUCAGCUGACCAUCCAAGAUUUGCGUUCAUGUCGAGCUUUUGCAGAGACAACGCGAUUGUCAUUAUAAAGCCUCAGUGCGCCGCUACCAUUCAUCCAAAAAUACAAGUUGGUUCUGACGUUCUAUUAGAAACAGAAAAUUUCCACUUCAGCGAGAAUGACAUCAGUUUCAUUAUCCCGUCCAUUUGCUCUUGGAUGUUCUAGACCGAAUUUUUGACAUUGAAGCUCAGUUCUGAUGCAUCAAGAUUUACGAACACUUGGUUCAAGAUGUUGUUUGGGUAAAGAAAACAAAAUUCCAUCUUUUUGGUACAGAAAAGUCCUCAAAAAUAUCAAAGAUAUCAAAUAUGGAUUGAAUAUAUUGUGAUGAAAAUAAUUUGCAAACCACAUAUCUACUGAUAUUCAAAAAUCAAACUUCAAAAUAUGUUUGUACUGAAGUUCUUUUUCAAUUUUCACAAAAAUUCUCAAGGGAACAAAUCUAUUUUUGCUAAAGUGACAUUUUUUAAAACUUUAAUUAUAACAAGCUAAUAAGUAUCUUAUUAUUUCAAAUGACUGUUAAAUACUUUUCUUACUAUCAUA